AAAGGCCAGAGGACAGAGUAGACGCUGGCGGGUCACGUGACUCGAGUCUAGCGCUUACUGAGAUCGCAUUGCGGCUCCCGCCCCGGCGAGUUCUCGCCCCCGCGCGGCGGUUUCCGAGGUGACGGCGCAUGUCUUGCCUCGCGUUGCCCCCUCUGCAGUCCCCCCGCCCCGCUUCUCCCACCACAAUGAGGUCCUAAGAUGGCGGUGGCUGCGGCGGUUGGCGCCAAGUACCUAAAGUAGAAAGGCGGCCAUUGGGCUCUAGGCAGUCAGGGAACUUGUGGACCUCCCUGCUGCGGUCUCUAAGGGAGGAACGCUGCCAGUGGCGGGUCGUGGGGGCUGACCGCCACUGCGCCCUUGGCAGGAGCGGCUGCUUCGUUUACAGGCAGACAGUCCGCCCCUCCCCCGGGACCGACCGACGCGAUCUCCGAGACAACAACUUUAAAGUGUGAAGCAGAAAAGGAGCUGUUUCUGAGCUGCAAAACUUGUUUCUAAAUAGGUAAUUUGACAUUAUAUUUAUUAUUUUCCCUUGUAUUAUAGCUGA
RNAcentral lists this long non-coding RNA (541 nucleotides) under Marmota marmota marmota (Alpine marmot). RNAcentral's name for it is "lncRNA (ENSMMMG00000009773.1)". Lineage: Eukaryota; Metazoa; Chordata; Mammalia; Rodentia; Sciuridae. The record is from RNAcentral.